RNAcentral lists this transfer RNA (88 nucleotides) under Bdellovibrio sp. CG11_big_fil_rev_8_21_14_0_20_39_38. RNAcentral describes it as "tRNA-Ser". It matches the Rfam family "tRNA". Rfam says of the family: Transfer RNA (tRNA) molecules are approximately 80 nucleotides in length. Their secondary structure includes four short double-helical elements and three loops (D, anti-codon, and T loops). Further hydrogen bonds mediate the characteristic L-shaped molecular structure. tRNAs have two regions of fundamental functional importance: the anti-codon, which is responsible for specific mRNA codon recognition, and the 3' end, to which the tRNAs corresponding amino acid is attached (by aminoacyl-tRNA synthetases). tRNAs cope with the degeneracy of the genetic code in two manners: having more than one tRNA (with a specific anti-codon) for a particular amino acid; and 'wobble' base-pairing, i.e. permitting non-standard base-pairing at the 3rd anti-codon position. The record is from RNAcentral. Lineage: Bacteria; Pseudomonadati; Bdellovibrionota; Bdellovibrionia; Bdellovibrionales; Pseudobdellovibrionaceae. RNAcentral also lists the same sequence under 2 other names.
GGAGAAUUGGCCGAGUGGUCGAAGGCGCACGCUUGGAAAGCGUGUAGACAGCAAUGUCUCGAGGGUUCGAAUCCCUUGUUCUCCGCCA